GAUGAAGAACGCAGCGAAAUGCGAUAAGUAAUGUGAAUUGCAGAAUUCAGUGAAUCAUCGAACCUUUGAACGCACAUUGCGCCCGCCAGUAUUCUGGCGGGCAUGUCUGUUCGAGCGUCAUUUCAACCAUCAAGCCCCAGGCUUGUGUUGGAGCCCUGCGGCUGCCGCAGCCUCCCAAAACCAGUGGCGGGCUCGCUAUCACACCGAGUGCAGUAGUUUACUCUUCGCUCAGGGCGUGUGGCGGGUGCUAGCCGUAAAACCCCCAACUUCUCAAGGUUGACCUCGGAUCAGGUAGGAAUACCCGCUGAACUUAAGCAUAUCAAUAAGCGGAGGA
RNAcentral lists this unclassified non-coding RNA (334 nucleotides) under soil metagenome. RNAcentral describes it as "partial contains 5.8S ribosomal RNA, internal transcribed spacer 2, and large subunit ribosomal RNA". The stretch from base 1 to 120 matches the Rfam family "5.8S ribosomal RNA", at positions 35 to 154 of the family's 154-position model. The record is from RNAcentral.